AUGCCCCUUUCAGGUUAAGUCAUGUCUUAGGAGGUUAAUAAAGAACGGUAAAGGAAAUCUCCAUAAAACCCAGAAAAGAAAUAGUAAAAGUCCUCUUUGGAUCCUGUCUGGAAAUGUAUAU
Small nucleolar RNA from Dipodomys ordii (Ord's kangaroo rat), 121 nucleotides. The record is from Ensembl. NCBI's taxonomy places the organism in Eukaryota, Metazoa, Chordata, Mammalia, Rodentia, Heteromyidae.